GAGAAGUCUACUCACUAAUGUUCAUCGUAGACAAGGGGAAGAAGAGAGAAAGCAUAAAAGUAAAUAACAAUAAAGUAAAAUGAACUUUUAUUAGAAAGACAAUUGUCACAUAUUGUAUUCCAAGAAAAGAUGAAUAAUUGUGAUGGCUAGCUACUCUAUUUAUAGCACAUAUUUGACUUAAAAUCUAAGCAAGUAUAUUCUAAGAAUAUUCGACGAGAGAUUGCGCGCUAAAAUAGAAUAGCUCAGAAUCCAAGCAAAAGCAGCAAAAGGUGUUCUGGAGGGUGGCACGGCCGUGCCAAGGCUAGCACGGGCCGUGCCACUUUGAGAAUCUUUAAAGGUUAAUGCACCACUAAGAUUAAAACGUGUUUCCUUAAAAUACCUAUUCAUACAUUUACUCAAGGGAAGCAACUUUUGUGUUUUUCUCAUUGGAGAAUUUUAUUCACUUUAAAACAAGAUGUGGGUAUAUCAAGAAAACUUAGAACACAAGAGUUUGCUUUCAUGUACAAGAAUCAACAAAAUAAGAGGAGACAAUGAAAAUUUUUGUGUCAUGAUAUUUUCAAUAAAAAUUAGCUACUUAACCAUGCCUUUUACAAUAAAACAAAACAAAAGAAUAAAGUUCAAGGGAGUUUGGAAACACUACGACUAAAGACACUUUAUUAGGCUCCCCCCACACUUAGGAGAAGCAUUGUCCUCAAUGAUUGAAAAUAAGAGAAAUGAAGAAGAAGAAGAAGAAGAAGAAGGAGGAGGAGGAGUAGUAAGAGAAGAGAGGAAGAGGAAAGCUCACAUUUUUCAUUGAGUUCUAUAGGUAGGACCUUGGAGGUGAAAAUGGUGCAUCAUGUUCCGAAGCAUUUGGUUAUUUUCUUCGGAUAUGCGGUUGCCCUUUAGGACAUAAUUCCUUAGUCCCGACAAUUCAACACCUUGCCUUAGUUGCUUGGUGCUUAUCCUCUAGUCCUCGGUAUGCAUCCAUGCUCAUCUUGCAUUUUCAUUUGUUUAUCCGGCAUCAUGGUCAUGGUGCUCCUCAUCAUGGUACAAUUGUGCACCUUCCUCUUCUUGGUGCAAAUGUGCAUCUUUCUCGCCUUCAUUAUCGUGUUCUUCAUGUACCUGUGGAUCAUCAACAACAUACAACAAAUUUUCUUCCACCUCGGUGUUAGUCCGAGAUGGGUUAGAAGGUAUAAUCAAAAUAGGCACAUUGAGUUUGAGUGCGUAGGACAUGGGUGGAUGGGGCUUAAUGAAGUUCAUAAAGAUAAGGGUCUCUAUGUUAAGCCUAUUGUUUUCCUCAAUUUUGGUAAUCCAUUGGUCCUCACCCACUCCCAAUUGCCUAGCUAUGUAUGUGAUGAUACCACCCACAACUAUCUCUCCCGUACUAUCAAACCUAUUACCGUCAUGGGAAAGGUAAUCAAGCAAGUAAAAGCAUGUGUUAACGAGGUGGUUGUUAAGCAUGGCCCACGACAUGAAGAGUUCAUCCGUCCUAGUGUUCCUCAAUUCGGUCCUACCCCAAAUAGUGCAAGUCAUUACCCUUUGAAGGUACCUAAGCACCGGGUUGUGAAUAUGGCUAGCUUUGUUUGAAAGUGUGUUAAAUUGCCUAAGGUUGGUGAUAUGUUCCCAAAAGGUGGCGGGUUGAUAGUCAACCGGCUUAAGACUUUGAUCCCAAGAGUCGUGGAUGAACCCCGUGUUAGCGAAGCUCAUCUCAUCACAAAAGUGUUGGAGAGACAUCUCGUAAUCAAUGUUCAUAAGCCGGAAAGAGAUUCUAUGAUUAGGGUUAUCAAAAUUCAUCAUAUCCUUUGUAAAAAUGAUAGAACUUAAAAACUCAUAGGUGAAAUUUUCAUAACCCUGCAUAGGUCUUAACAUAGCAACCCACCCUAAUCGUCUUAGAAAUUUAAACACAUUAUCACUAAGGCCUAAUGUAACCAAGUCAUAAUUAUCAGGGUACCUGCAAGGAUGUAAAGGUUUAUAAAUGAGAUUUUUAUACCUAUCCUUUUGCUUGGUGUCCUUGAAUAUUAUGCCAUGAUUAUUUGCCGGUACUUGCUUCUUUGGGGAAGGUCCUCUUGAAGAUGUUGCAACUUCUUUUCCACUUCUUUUGGAAGCCAUAGCCUUGACCUUGGUUGGACUUGGUGUGGUUGUGGUGAAGGUUGGGGUUAGUGAAUGUUUUUGGUGGAAAGGGUUGGUUUAGUGAUGGGGAGAAGGUUUAAGUGAGUUGAAAGGGUUGGGUUGUGGAAAUUGGUAAUGAAUUUGAGGGUUUUUGGGUGAGGUUAAUGGGGCUACGAAUUUGGAUGAUUUUUGAAUUGGGUGGAUGAAAGUUGUUUUUGAAUGAAGGGUUGUGAUUAGAAUGGUUUUUGUGGUUUAUGGAGGUUUUAGAGAGAAGGUGGAAGGAUGAUAGAUGUUUGGUUUGGUGAAUGAGGGAAGAAGAGGAUGAAGAAUGAGGUUUAACCUUACCUGAGGUUGGGCAUGGCCGUGCUUAGGUUGGCACGGGCCGUGCCAAGUUCCUGGGUUUGGCUUGGUUUUGGAGAGGCAAGGUCUGGCACGGCCGUGCUAGUGUGAGCACGGGCCGUGCCAAGGUUCUGGGCUCCGGGGCUUCAAAAUUUUCUGUUUUCUUGAAUCAUGCUCGGACAAUUACCUACAAAAUAAUUAAAAAAACAAAACAACAAAACAAAAGCAGUUAAAUGCGUGGGUUGCCUCCCACGAAGCGCUUCUUUAUAGUCUUAGCUUGACGAUCAAGAGGCUUUUCUACCCUAUACCUAAUCUUUCCCAAAGGGAUAACGGCGUCAACCUGGCAUUCUCUCCCAAAUCACAUAUGGCUUUCUCAAUGCUUUCGGAUCCUAUGACACAAGGUAUGAGAAAAUUUUCUGGAUUCUUAAGUUUAGAUGAUAAUUUGGUUGGAAGUAUUUCAAUAAAAAUUCUAAAUUGGUCAUCUAACUUUGAUUUGACAAAACCUUGUGUUAAUGGAUUUUUAGGCUCAUGAGGUGGUGAAACAAAUGGCUUUUCAUUUUCUCCUAUAGUUUUCUCACUUUGAGGCUCAUCACUUCCUAUCUCUCCCUCAUUGUUCUUAAUUGUCACAACGGGGUCCUCUAAUUGGUUACCAUCCCUAAGAAUAAUAGAACUUAUAUGGCCUUUGGGGUUGGUUUCAGUUUGACCUGGAAAGAUCCCGGUGGUUUGAGAGGAAGUAGUCACGUGUUGGGCCACUUGAGAGAUUUGGGUUUUGAGUAUCUUAUUGUGAGUUGCUAUGGAGUCUACCUUGGAUGUGAUUUUGGCAAAAGAGUCAUUCAAAAAUCCUGUUUGGUUUUUAAGCUCUUGGAUUGAUUUAUAACAUAAUUUUCCAUUAAAAGUUCCAAGCUGGAUUUUUGAGGGACUCUUUGGUUGUUUGCAUAACUGGGUGGUGUUGCUUGUUGUCCAAAAAGAUUUUGAGGGGUUUGAUAAAAAAAAGUGGUUGUUUCCAAACCCUCGAUUAUAUUCAGCAUAGUUUACUUGCUCAGGACUUCUAACAACACUACCUAGUUGGCAAUCAAUGCCAAUAUGGCCAAAUACACCACAAACUUCACAAGGAGGUGAUACAGGAGCAGGUGUGACAACACUAGUAUUCAUUGUAUCAAAUUUUUUUGUCAGUGUGUCAACCUUAGCAGUUAGAUGAUCAAGGGAGGAAAUUUUGUACAUACCUACCUCUUUUUUAGAGGGUGAAGAAGCAGUGAUGACUCUCUCACUUGUCCACUGAUAGUGGUUUUGUGCCAUGGCCUCGAUCAAAUCAUAUGCUGCUGUGUAAGUUUUAUUCAUCAAAGCUCCACCUGCAGCUGCAUCAACAUAGAUUUUUGUGGUAUACGAAAGACCAUUAUAAAAGGUGUGGAUAAUAAGCCACUUCUCUAAACCAUGAUGGGGGCAAAGCCUAAGCAUUUCUUUGAAACGCUCCCACGCAUCGUAAAGAGAUUCACCAUCUUUUUGAGUGUAUUGAAAAAGCCACGCCCUGAAUUGAGCGGUUUGAGAAAGGGGAAAGAAUUGGGCAAGGAAAGCUCGCCUCAUUUGGUCCCAUGAAGUGAUAGAACCAAUAGUCAAUGAAUGAAACCAAGCACUAGCUCUAUCCCUUAAGGAAAAAGGAAAGAGGUGCAGCCUUACGGCCUCUUGGUUUGCCUUCAAAGUUCCACUGAGUUUUAAAAAUUUUGAAACAUGAAGAUUCGGAUCCUCAGUGGGUGAUCCGAAAAAUUGAUUUUGCUGCACUAGGUAAAUAAGUGCAGGCUUUAUUUCAAAUUUACUACCCUCAACCGUUGGGUACACAAUAGCAUCGUACGGCUCAUCUGAAGAUGUAAUUGCAUACUCUUUGAGAGCACGUUUCUCAUCCAUGUCGUUAUUAUUGUCUUUGAGCCAUGCCUGAAAUCAAAACGGUUAAAGAUAGAAAAUAAAAAAUAAGGAGAACGGGAGGGAGAGAUAUAAAAUAAAAAUAAAAUAAGAUAAGGAAAUAAAAUAUAUUAUAAAUAUAAAAAAAUAAAAAAAUAAAAAGGUAAGAAAAAGGAAAUAAAAUAUUUUAUAAAUAUAUGUAUAUAUAAUAUUAUAUUAUAUUAUAUUAUAUUUUUUUUUUUUUUAGACUAACCACUAUUAAAAAGUUAAUCAAAUUACAAUAACUCCCCGGCAGCGGUGCCAAAAACUUGAUGGGAUAAAACCGCAAGUGCACGGUCUUACCGAAGUAGUAAAAUAGAGUAUCGUUCCGACAGGGAGUUAUGAAUUCAAUUAACUUUAGAUAAUGAUUAGACUAACGUUUUAUAAGGUAGAAAGUUUUGGAUUUUUAAUUGAAAGUAAAUAAUAAAAUAAAAGAUAAAAGCCUUGGGGUUAUUGGUUCAUCCUAACGACAAGUCCUUCUGAAACCAAACUAUUAAACUUAUAACUUUAUGUUAGACCUAAUUUCUCAAGACAGUUUCUCUUUUGUUCCUCUAGCAACCAAGCCUAUUUCGCUGACUUGAUUACUAUUAGAUUUUGGUUCCUCUAACAACCAAGCCUACUUUACUGACUUGAUUGUUAUUAGUUCCCUUAAAGAUCGAAACUAUAUGUCUCAAAGAUUGCAAAGCCUAUUUCGCUGACUUUGGAAUCCUUGUCUAAAUUCACUUGUUCGAAUAUCAAAGCUCCAAUUUCGUUUUAUGAAUUGAUAUUUGAGAUGAUGGAUAAACAAUUAUCAAACCCUCCACUUUCGUUUCCACAGUUUGAUAAUGGUUGAUCCAUGUUAAAGCGGUGAAUUUAGAUAAGGAAUUAGGGUUACAUAAGAUUAAGGUUUAAAGCUUGGUUUGAUUAGGAUUAUGUCAUUAGACUUAUCCAACAAUCCCAAGACAAGAGAAGUCUACUCACUAAUGUUCAUCGUAGACAAGGGGAAGAAGAGAGAAAGCAUAAAAGUAAAUAACAAUAAAGUAAAAUGAACUUUUAUUAGAAAGACAAUUGUCACAUAUUGUAUUCCAAGAAAAGAUGAAUAAUUGUGAUGACUAGCUACUCUAUUUAUAACACACAUUUGACUUAAAAUCUAAGCAAGUAUAUUCUAAGAAUAUUCCACGAGAGAUUGCGCGCUAAAAUAGAAUAGCUCAGAAUCCAAGCAAAAGCAGCAAAAGGUGUUCUGGAGGGUGGCACGGCCGUGCCA
RNAcentral lists this long non-coding RNA (5602 nucleotides) under Medicago truncatula (barrel medic). Its description in RNAcentral is "long non-coding RNA (MTRU_LNC000653)". The stretch from base 3854 to 3960 matches the Rfam family "Plant small nucleolar RNA R71". The record is from RNAcentral. Lineage: Eukaryota; Viridiplantae; Streptophyta; Magnoliopsida; Fabales; Fabaceae.